Molecule: ribosomal RNA, 436 nt
Filed under: uncultured Lachnospiraceae bacterium
Lineage: Bacteria; Bacillati; Bacillota; Clostridia; Lachnospirales; Lachnospiraceae
Description: partial 16S ribosomal RNA
Rfam family: Bacterial small subunit ribosomal RNA
Source: RNAcentral
ACGGAAGGCAGCAGUGGGGAAUAUUGGGCAAUGGGGGAAAUCCUGACCCAGCAACGCCGCGUGGAGGAAGAAGGUUUUCGGAUCGUAAACUCCUGUCCUAAGGGAAGAGCAGAAGACUGUACCUUAGGAGGGAGCCCCGGCUAACUACGUGCCAGCAGCCGCGGUAAUACGUAGGGGGCAAGCGUUGUCCGGAAUGAUUGGGCGUAAAGGGCGCGUAGGCGGCCCGGUAAGUCUGAAGUGAAAGUCCUGCUUUUAAGGUGGGAAUUGCUUUGGAUACUGUCGGGCUUGAGUGCAGGAGAGGUUAUUGGAAUUCCCAGUGUAGCGGUGAAAUGCGUAGAGAUUGGGAGGAACACCAGUGGCGAAGGCGAGUGACUGGACUGUAACUGACGCUGAGGCGCGAAAGUGUGGGGAGCAAACAGGAUUAGAUACCCUGGUA